AGCGGCGGACGGGUUAGUAACGCGUGGGAAUAUACCCUUUUCUACGGAAUAGCCUCGGGAAACUGAGAGUAAUACCGUAUACGCCCUUCGGGGGAAAGAUUUAUCGGUGAAGGAUUAGCCCGCGUCUGAUUAGAUAGUUGGUGGGGUAAUGGCCUACCAAGUCUACGAUCAGUAGCUGGUUUGAGAGGAUGAUCAGCAACACUGGGACUGAGACACGGCCCAGACUCCUACGGGAGGCAGCAGUGGGGAAUCUUAGACAAUGGGCGCAAGCCUGAUCUAGCCAUGCCGCGUGAGUGACGAAGGCCUUAGGGUCGUAAAGCUCUUUCGCCAGAGAUGAUAAUGACAGUAUCUGGUAAAGAAACCCCGGCUAACUCCGUGCCAGCAGCCGCGGUAAUACGGAGGGGGUUAGCGUUGUUCGGAAUUACUGGGCGUAAAGCGUACGUAGGCGGAUUGGAAAGUAGGGGGUGAAAUCCCAGGGCUCAACCCUGGAACUGCCUCCUAAACUAUCAGUCUAGAGUUCGGGAGAGGUGAGUGGAAUUCCAAGUGUAGAGGUGAAAUUCGUAGAUAUUUGGAGGAACACCAGUGGCGAAGGCGGCUCACUGGCUCGAUACUGACGCUGAGGUACGAAAGUGUGGGGAGCAAACAGGAUUAGAUACCCUGGUAGUCCACACCGUAAACGAUGAAUGCCAGACGUCAGGGGGCUUGCCCUUUGGUGUCACACCUAACGGAUUAAGC
Molecule: ribosomal RNA, 735 nt
Filed under: uncultured Alphaproteobacteria bacterium
Lineage: Bacteria; Pseudomonadati; Pseudomonadota; Alphaproteobacteria
Description: bacterial SSU rRNA
Rfam family: Bacterial small subunit ribosomal RNA
Source: RNAcentral